AUUGAACGCUGGCGGCAUGCUUUACACAUGCAAGUCGAACGGUAACAGGCCGCAAGGUGCUGACGAGUGGCGAACGGGUGAGUAAUGCAUCGGAACGUGCCCAGUCGUGGGGGAUAACGCAGCGAAAGCUGUGCUAAUACCGCAUACGAUCUAUGGAUGAAAGCGGGGGACCGUAAGGCCUCGCGCGAUUGGAGCGGCCGAUGUCAGAUUAGGUAGUUGGUGGGGUAAAGGCUCACCAAGCCAACGAUCUGUAGCUGGUCUGAGAGGACGACCAGCCACACUGGGACUGAGACACGGCCCAGGAUCCUACGGGAGGCAGGAGUGGGGGAUUUUGGGCAAUGGGCGCAAGCCUGGUCCAGCAAUGCCGCGUGCAGGAAGAAGGCCUUCGGGUUGUAAACUGCUUUUGUGCGGAACGAAACGGUGAGCUCUAAUACAGUUUGCUAAUGACGGUACCGUAAGAAUAAGCACCGGCUAACUACGUGCCAGCCGCCGCCGUAA
Molecule: ribosomal RNA, 498 nt
Filed under: uncultured bacterium
Lineage: Bacteria
Description: partial 16S ribosomal RNA
Rfam family: Bacterial small subunit ribosomal RNA
Source: RNAcentral